GCGCCUGUAGCUCAGUCGGAUAGAGCAACUGCCUUCUAAGCAGUGGGCCGGGGGUUCGAAUCCCUCCAGGCGCGCCA
RNAcentral lists this transfer RNA (77 nucleotides) under bacterium. Its description in RNAcentral is "tRNA-Arg". It matches the Rfam family "tRNA". Rfam says of the family: Transfer RNA (tRNA) molecules are approximately 80 nucleotides in length. Their secondary structure includes four short double-helical elements and three loops (D, anti-codon, and T loops). The record is from RNAcentral. RNAcentral also lists the same sequence under 4 other names.